This 253-nucleotide ribosomal RNA is filed under the name uncultured bacterium. RNAcentral describes it as "partial 16S ribosomal RNA". It matches the Rfam family "Bacterial small subunit ribosomal RNA", at positions 524 to 776 of the family's 1533-position model. The record is from RNAcentral.
UACGUAGGUGGCAAGCGUUGUCCGGAUUUAUUGGGUUUAAAGGGUGCGUAGGCGGUUCGGUAAGUCUGCCGUGAAAACCCAGGGCUCAACCCUGGGCGUGCGGUGGAUACUGCCGGGCUAGAGGGUGGUAGAGGCGAGUGGAAUUCCCGGUGUAGCGGUGAAAUGCGCAGAUAUCGGGAGGAACACCAGUAGCGAAGGCGGCUCGCUGGGCCACACCUGACGCUGAGACGCGAAAGCGUGGGGAGCGAACAGG